This 73-nucleotide transfer RNA is filed under the name Ixodes scapularis (black-legged tick). RNAcentral's name for it is "tRNA-Ser for anticodon GGA". It matches the Rfam family "tRNA". Rfam says of the family: Transfer RNA (tRNA) molecules are approximately 80 nucleotides in length. Their secondary structure includes four short double-helical elements and three loops (D, anti-codon, and T loops). Lineage: Eukaryota; Metazoa; Arthropoda; Arachnida; Ixodida; Ixodidae. The record is from RNAcentral.
UCCUGCUUAGCUCAGUUGGUGGAGCGCUCCACUGGAAAUGGAGAGGUGUCAGGUUCGAUACCAGGACCAGGCG